Molecule: long non-coding RNA, 3042 nt
Filed under: Homo sapiens (human)
Lineage: Eukaryota; Metazoa; Chordata; Mammalia; Primates; Hominidae
Description: HSALNT0122034
Source: RNAcentral
GCCACCUGGGAGGCUGAGAUGAGAGGAGUGCUUAUGCCCUGGAGGUCAACGCUGCAGUGAGCUGUGAUUGCACCACUGCACUCCACCUGACAGAGUGACACCCCCCCAUCUCUAAAAAAUAAAAAAAAAAAAGUGGGAAGAACAAUCACACCACGGUUUAACUGAUCAGCUACGAUGGGAACUGUGAAAGGCAUUCCACAGAGUGAAUCAAGGCUUCAGGAGGAGGCCCUGACUUAUCCUGGAGGCAGAGGGUUCUCCCAGGAAUGGCGUCUUAGCUGAAGCCUGACCCAGAAGGUAGACGGGCAGGAACGAGGUAAUGUGGAGACUGUUGGGAGCAGGCAAGGACUUCAUCCCAAGGCAAUGGGAGGCCCUCUGUACUCCCUCUUGUGAUAACUGCUUCCCUUCUUUCGGGCAGUGCUCCUGACCCCACUCUAGCUGUGUGGGUGGGUCCCUACCUGGUUGAGUCAACCAGAUCCCAUCCCUGGGAUUUUAAACUUGGAACCAGAAGGAGAGUGAUCAUCACCUCUUUUCUAGGGUGAAUCAAUGAGAAGUGAGGCUCCGAAGCUUGGAUCUCAAGUUCACAGAAGCAGCUGGUUGAGGGUGAAGCUUGCACACAGAGGCCAAGGAAGGAUGCCUACCCAUGUCCAGCUGCCCCAGGGCCCUUUCAGGACUGCUAUUUUGAGCCCCUUCCUUCCUUAACUGGUUUGAAUUGGUCACCGUCACUUGCAACCUAUUGAGUCCUAGCUAAUGUACCAUGACAGGGUUCAAGACUUGGUCAGAGAAGAGCUGGGGUAUAGGAUGCUGGGGAAGGGUACCCAUUAAUCCUCCCUUCUAAGUGGUAACUGAGAGAAUGAACAAGAACAAUAUACAGUUAAAUGAAAAUAAAAAGGCACAGUGGCUCAAGCCUAUAAUCCCAGCACUUUGGGAGGCCGAGGCAGGCAGAUCACAAGGUCAGGAGUUCGAGACCAGCCUAACCAACAUGGUGAAACCCCAUCUCUACUAAAAUUACAAGAAUUAGCCAGGCGUGAUGGCGCGCCACCUGUAAUCCCAGCUGCUCAGGAGGCUGAGCAGGAGAAUCACUUGAACCCGGGAGGCGGAAGUUGCAGUGAGCUGAGAUCAUGCCACUGCACUCCAGCCUGGGCGACAGAGCAAGACUCCGUCUUAAAAAAAAAAAAAAAGAAAAUAAACACAGACGCUUUAAGGAUCAGUUAACAACAAGACACAGACUCUAAUAUUCACUGACAUAAAGUUUCAGAAAGGGCAAAAUUAAUCUCUGGUGACAGGGGCCAGAACAGUGAUGACCUGGGGUGGGGUGUGGGUUGGUCUCUCCUGUGAGGUUUGGAAGGGCAGGUACACACGCGUGUGCACUUACCAAAACCUACUGCACUGUGCAUCCGACUGCACUGAUGUCCCUGGCUUCUUUGAGGCAACUUGGGUGACAGGCCACUGGAGGAAGCUGGGGCAGAAUGGGAGGGAAGCUGGCCCCUCACAUGAAUACGGGGAAUUAGGAAGUGUUUUCUCCUCCACAAUGUUUGGGAGAAUUUGGGGAUUUAUGUCCAUUCUUUAGCAUUUGGUAGAAUUCACCAUCUGGUCCUGGGCUUUUCUUUUGUUGGGAAGCUUUUGAUGACUGGUUCUACCUAUGUGUUUUAGGUUGGUUCAGAUUUUUUCCUUUUUCUUCUUUUUUUGAGGUCAGGUCUCUGUCUCUGCCUCAUUCCUGGCUGGAGUGCAGUGGUGCUGUCAUAGGUCGUUGCAGCUUUGAACUCCUGGGCUCUAGCUAUCCUCCUGCUUCAGCCUCCCAAGUAGCUGGGGCUACAGGCACGUGCCAUGACACCUGGUUGAUUUCUAAAGAUUUUGUCGAGGCAGGGUCUCUGUUGCCCAGGCUGGUCUCGAACUCCUGGCCUCAGGCCAUCCUCCUAACUAGUUCUCCCCAAGUGCUGGGAUCACAGGUGUGAGCCACUGCACCUGGCCCUGUUCAGAUUUUCUAUUUUUCCUGGGACAAUUUUGGUCAUUUGUAUCUUUCUAGGAAUUUUUUUGUUGUUGUUUUGAGACAGAGUCUCACUCUGUCACCCAAGCUGGAGUGCAAUGGCAUGAUCUCAGCUCACUGCAACCUCUGCCUCCUGGGUUCAAGUGAUUUUCCUGCCUCAGCCUCGUGAAUAGCUGGGAUUACAGGUGUGAGCCACCACGCCUGGCUAAUUUUUGUGUUUUUAGUAGAGACAGGGUUUCACCACUUUGGCCAGGUUGGUCUCGAACUUCUGACCUCAGGUGAUCUGCCUGCCUCGGCCUCCCAAAGUGCCGCGAUUACAGGCGUGAGCCACCACACCCAGCCAAGAUGUCGCAUCUUUUUAAAUGUUGGCAUUUGCAGCUAUAAAUUUCCCUCAGAGCAGUUUUUGCCGCAUUCCUUAAGUUCUGGUAUGUUGUUUUCAUCCAUCUCUAUUUCCUAAUUUUUCUCGUGAUUUCUCCUUUGACCCUUUGGCUGUUAAAAAGUGUGUUCAAUUUCUAUGUAUGUGUGAAUUUUCAUUUUCCUUCUGGUAUGGAUUUCUGGUUUUAUUCCAUUGUGAUUGGAGAAGGUGGUUUGCAGGAUUCCGAUCUCUAAUUUACUGAGACUUGCUUUGUGCACUAACGUGUGGUCUGUCCUGGAGAACGUUCCCUGUGCACUUAGAAACGUGUGUUCUGCUGCUAUUGGGUGGAGCACUGUUAAGUCUGGUCAGCCUUUUGGUUUUUAUGUAAUACUUGGCACAUUCACAAGAAAAUGUGUGAAACAGAAAGUACGACAAAGUGAAACCCACGAAGCCACCACUGACCCUGAGGUUCAAAACCUCCAGCAUCUCUGCUCUUCCCUAAGCACAGCUCCGUCCCCUCCCCACGGGUGAGCACUGUGUUGUACUGACUCCCUGCCCUCCCUGAUGACUUUAGCACCUGGGUAUGAAUUCCACACAUAUUUGGUUUUGAGCUUUAUAAAAAUGGCAUCAUACUGUAUGAACUGUCUUGCUUUUUCAUCCCACGUUGUUUCUGAGAGGUGUUUGUGAUGGAGCACAGGGCCAC